GGGCCGCACGCGCGCUACACUGACGGAGCCAGCGAGUCUAACCUAGGCCGAGAGGUCUUGGUAAUCUUGUGAAACUCCGUCGUGCUGGGGAUAGAGCAUUGUAAUUGUUGCUCUUCAACGAGGAAUUCCUAGUAAGCGCAAGUCAUCAGCUUGCGUUGAUUACGUCCC
Molecule: ribosomal RNA, 168 nt
Filed under: Arxiozyma telluris
Lineage: Eukaryota; Fungi; Ascomycota; Saccharomycetes; Saccharomycetales; Saccharomycetaceae
Description: Kazachstania telluris partial 18S rRNA
Rfam family: Eukaryotic small subunit ribosomal RNA
Source: RNAcentral